ACAAUGCAAUGGCUGAGAACUGAUGAAUUCACUGGACAAGAUUGGAUACAAUUCUGUCAAUGCAUCAUUAUGCAGUCUAAAGGGAAAUCUGUCCGAGCUCUCACUCAGAAAUGCUGUAUAGUAUAUGGUUAGAAAGAAAUGCGAGAAUCUUUGAAAACAUCUAUUGUAAUUGUGAUAAACUUCUAAGUAGUCUAGCCUAUAUCUGUAAUGUUCGAGCUCCUCC
This 223-nucleotide long non-coding RNA is filed under the name Nicotiana benthamiana. RNAcentral's name for it is "long non-coding RNA (NBEN_LNC021499)". The record is from RNAcentral. Lineage: Eukaryota; Viridiplantae; Streptophyta; Magnoliopsida; Solanales; Solanaceae.